GACGAACGCUGGCGGCGUGCUUAACACAUGCAAGUCGAACGAUGAAGCUGGAGCUUGCUCCGGUGGAUUAGUGGCGAACGGGUGAGUAACACGUGAGAAAUCUGCCCUUGACUCUGGGAUAACUGCGGGAAACUGUAGCUAAUACCGGAUACUUUCCUUGGUGGGCAUCCACUGGGGAAGAAAGAAUUUCGGUCAAGGAUGAGCUCGCGGCCUAUCAGCUAGUUGGUGAGGUAAUGGCUCACCAAGGCGACGACGGGUAGCCGGCCUGAGAGGGUGACCGGCCACACUGGAACUGAGACACGGUCCAGACUCCUACGGGAGGCAGCAGUGGGGAAUAUUGCACAAUGGGCGAAAGCCUGAUGCAGCAACGCCGCGUGAGGGACGAAGGCCUUCGGGUUGUAAACCUCUUUUAGCAGGGAAGAAGCGAAAGUGACGGUACCUGCAGAAAAAGCACCGGCUAACUACGUGCCAGCCGCCGCGGUAA
RNAcentral lists this ribosomal RNA (484 nucleotides) under uncultured bacterium. RNAcentral describes it as "partial 16S ribosomal RNA". It matches the Rfam family "Bacterial small subunit ribosomal RNA", at positions 28 to 523 of the family's 1533-position model. The record is from RNAcentral.